GAAAUGCGAUAAGUAAUGUGAAUUGCAGAAUUCAGUGAAUCAUCGAAUCUUUGAACGCACCUUGCGCUCCUUGGUAUUCCUUGGAGCAUGCCUGUUUGAGUAUCAUGAAAUCUUCAAAGUAAAUCUUUUGUUAACUCAAUUGGUUUCUACUUUGGUAUUGGAGGUCUUUGCAGCUUCACACCUGCUCCUCUUUGUUCAUUAGCUGGAUCUCAGUGUUAUGCUUGGUUCCACUCGGCGUGAUAAGUUAUCUAUCGCUGAGGACACUGUAAAAGGUGGCCAAGGUAAAUGCAGAUGAACCGCUUCUAAUAGGCCAUUGACUUGGACAAUACUUUUAUGAUCUGAUCUCAAAUCAGGUAGGACUACCCGCUGAACUUAAGC
This 378-nucleotide unclassified non-coding RNA is filed under the name plant metagenome. Its description in RNAcentral is "partial contains 5.8S ribosomal RNA, internal transcribed spacer 2, and large subunit ribosomal RNA". The stretch from base 1 to 105 matches the Rfam family "5.8S ribosomal RNA", at positions 50 to 154 of the family's 154-position model. The record is from RNAcentral.